RNAcentral lists this ribosomal RNA (497 nucleotides) under uncultured bacterium. RNAcentral describes it as "partial 16S ribosomal RNA". It matches the Rfam family "Bacterial small subunit ribosomal RNA", at positions 28 to 507 of the family's 1533-position model. The record is from RNAcentral.
GACGAACGCUGGCGGCGUGCCUAAUACAUGCAAGUUGAGCGCUGAAGGUUGGUACUUGUACCGACUGGAUGAGCAGCGAACGGGUGAGUAACGCGUGGGGAAUCUGCCUUUGAGCGGGGGACAACAUUUGGAAACGAAUGCUAAUACCGCAUAAAAACUUUAAACACAAGUUUUAAGUUUGAAAGAUGCAAUUGCAUCACUCAAAGAUGAUCCCGCGUUGUAUUAGCUAGUUGGUGAGGUAAAGGCUCACCAAGGCGAUGAUACAUAGCCGACCUGAGAGGGGGAUCGGCCAAAUUGGGACGGAGACACGGCCCAAACUCCUACGGGAGGCAGCAGUAGGGAAUCUUCGGCAAUGGACGAAAGUCUGACCGAGCAACGCCGCGGGAGGGAAGAAGGGUUUCGGAUCGUAAAACUCUGUUGGUAGAGAAGAACGUUGGUGAGAGUGGAAAGCUCAUCAAGUGACGGUAACUACACAGAAAGGGACGGCUAACUACGUG